Molecule: ribosomal RNA, 1330 nt
Filed under: Microbacterium maritypicum
Lineage: Bacteria; Bacillati; Actinomycetota; Actinomycetes; Micrococcales; Microbacteriaceae
Description: bacterial SSU rRNA
Source: RNAcentral
AGUGGCGAACGGGUGAGUAACACGUGAGCAACCUGCCCCUGACUCUGGGAUAAGCGCUGGAAACGGCGUCUAAUACUGGAUAUGUGACGUGAYCGCAUGGUCUGCGUCUGGAAAGAAUUUCGGUUGGGGAUGGGCUCGCGGCCUAUCAGCUUGUUGGUGAGGUAAUGGCUCACCAAGGCGUCGACGGGUAGCCGGCCUGAGAGGGUGACCGGCCACACUGGGACUGAGACACGGCCCAGACUCCUACGGGAGGCAGCAGUGGGGAAUAUUGCACAAUGGGCGCAAGCCUGAUGCAGCAACGCCGCGUGAGGGACGACGGCCUUCGGGUUGUAAACCUCUUUUAGCAGGGAAGAAGCGAAAGUGACGGUACCUGCAGAAAAAGCGCCGGCUAACUACGUGCCAGCAGCCGCGGUAAUACGUAGGGCGCAAGCGUUAUCCGGAAUUAUUGGGCGUAAAGAGCUCGUAGGCGGUUUGUCGCGUCUGCUGUGAAAUCCGGAGGCUCAACCUCCGGCCUGCAGUGGGUACGGGCAGACUAGAGUGCGGUAGGGGAGAUUGGAAUUCCUGGUGUAGCGGUGGAAUGCGCAGAUAUCAGGAGGAACACCGAUGGCGAAGGCAGAUCUCUGGGCCGUAACUGACGCUGAGGAGCGAAAGGGUGGGGAGCAAACAGGCUUAGAUACCCUGGUAGUCCACCCCGUAAACGUUGGGAACUAGUUGUGGGGUCCAUUCCACGGAUUCCGUGACGCAGCUAACGCAUUAAGUUCCCCGCCUGGGGAGUACGGCCGCAAGGCUAAAACUCAAAGGAAUUGACGGGGACCCGCACAAGCGGCGGAGCAUGCGGAUUAAUUCGAUGCAACGCGAAGAACCUUACCAAGGCUUGACAUAUACGAGAACGGGCCAGAAAUGGUCAACUCUUUGGACACUCGUAAACAGGUGGUGCAUGGUUGUCGUCAGCUCGUGUCGUGAGAUGUUGGGUUAAGUCCCGCAACGAGCGCAACCCUCGUUCUAUGUUGCCAGCACGUAAUGGUGGGAACUCAUGGGAUACUGCCGGGGUCAACUCGGAGGAAGGUGGGGAUGACGUCAAAUCAUCAUGCCCCUUAUGUCUUGGGCUUCACGCAUGCUACAAUGGCCGGUACAAAGGGCUGCAAUACCGCGAGGUGGAGCGAAUCCCAAAAAGCCGGUCCCAGUUCGGAUUGAGGUCUGCAACUCGACCUCAUGAAGUCGGAGUCGCUAGUAAUCGCAGAUCAGCAACGCUGCGGUGAAUACGUUCCCGGGUCUUGUACACACCGCCCGUCAAGUCAUGAAAGUCGGUAACACCUGAAGCCGGUGGCCU